Molecule: ribosomal RNA, 634 nt
Filed under: uncultured bacterium
Lineage: Bacteria
Description: bacterial SSU rRNA
Rfam family: Bacterial small subunit ribosomal RNA
Source: RNAcentral
UNCACGCCGUAAACGUUGGGCACUAGGUGUGGGGGNCCUUUUCCGGGUUUUCCGCGCCGUAGCUAACGCAUUAAGUGCCCCGCCUGGGGAGUACGGCCGCAAGGCUAAAACUCAAAGGAAUUGACGGGGGCCCGCACAAGCGGCGGAGCAUGCGGAUUAAUUCGAUGCAACGCGAAGANCCUUACCAAGGCUUGACAUGUGCCGNUCGGCUCCGGAGACGGGGUUUCCUCCUUGUGGGGCCGGUUCACGGGUGGUGCAUGGUUGUCGUCAGCUCGUGUCGUGAGAUGUUGGGUUAAGUCCCGCAACGAGCGCAACCCUUGUCUCGUGUUGCCAGCACGUUGUGGUGGGGACUCGCGGGAGACUGCCGGGGUCAACUCGGAGGAAGGUGGGGAUGACGUCAAAUCAUCAUGCCCCUUAUGUCUUGGGCUUCACGCAUGCUACAAUGGCCGGUACAGAGGGCUGCGAUACUGUGAGGUGGAGCGAAUCCCUUAAAGCCGGUCUCAGUUCGGAUCGGUGUCUGCAACUCGACACCGUGAAGUUGGAGUCGCUAGUAAUCGCAGAUCAGCAACGCUGCGGUGAAUACGUUCUCGGGCCUUGUACACACCGCCCGUCACGUCAUGAAAGUCGGCAACAC